Xenorhabdus bovienii SS-2004 is the source of this 389-nucleotide non-coding RNA. The record is from Rfam. Lineage: Bacteria; Pseudomonadati; Pseudomonadota; Gammaproteobacteria; Enterobacterales; Morganellaceae.
GGAGUUGACUAGACAGUCGCUGCUUUACCGCUCUCCUUCGGGAGAUGUAAAGGGGAGGAAAGUCCGGGCUCCACAGGGCAGGGUGCCAGAUAACGUCUGGGGGGUGAAAGCCUACGACUAGUGCAACAGAGAGCAAACCGCCGAUGGCCUACUUUUGUUUGCAAAAAUAAGGGUGGGAUCAGGUAAGGGUGAAAGGGUGCGGUAAGAGCGCACCGCGCGGCUGGCAACAGUCCGUGGCACGGUAAACUCCACCCGGAGCAAGACCAAAUAGAGGUUCACAUGGUACGGCCCGUACUGAACCCGGGUAGGUUGCUUGAGCCAGCGCGCAAGUUCUGGCCUAGAUGAAUGAUUGUCCACGACAGAACCCGGCUUAUCGGUCAACUCCACCA